This 500-nucleotide ribosomal RNA is filed under the name uncultured bacterium. RNAcentral describes it as "bacterial SSU rRNA". It matches the Rfam family "Bacterial small subunit ribosomal RNA", at positions 169 to 648 of the family's 1533-position model. The record is from RNAcentral.
CCGGAUGUGAAAGCUGGGAGGCAUCUCUUGGUUUUCAAAGCUGGGGACCGUAAGGCCUGGCGCUUCAUGAUGAGCCCGCGGCCUAUCAGCUAGUUGGUAAGGUAACGGCUUACCAAGGCUAAGACGGGUAGCUGGUCUGAGAGGACGACCAGCCACACUGGAACUGAGACACGGUCCAGACACCUACGGGUGGCAGCAGUCGAGAAUUUUUCACAAUGGGCGCAAGCCUGAUGGAGCGACGCCGCGUGGGGGAUGAAUGGCUUCGGCCCGUAAACCCCUGUCAUUUGCGAUCAAACGUUGUCAUUUAAAAGAUGACAGCCUGAUAGUAGCGAAAGAGGAAGGGACGGCUAACUCUGUGCCAGCAGCCGCGGUAAUACAGAGGUCCCAAGCGUUGUUCGGAUUCACUGGGCGUAAAGGGUGCGUAGGUGGCGGGGUAAGUCGGAUGUGAAAUCUCCCGAGCUCAACUCGGAAAUGGCAUUGGAAACUGCUCUGCUUGAGGG